AGCGGAGGGAUCAUUACUGAGUUUACGCUCUACAACCCUUUGUGAACAUACCUAUAACUGUUGCUUCGGCGGGUAGGGUCUCCGUGACCCUCCCGGCCUCCCGCCCCCGGGCGGGUCGGCGCCCGCCGGAGGAUAACCAAACUCUGAUUUAACGACGUUUCUUCUGAGUGGUACAAGCAAAUAAUCAAAACUUUUAACAACGGAUCUCUUGGUUCUGGCAUCGAUGAAGAACGCAGCGAAAUGCGAUAAGUAAUGUGAAUUGCAGAAUUCAGUGAAUCAUCGAAUCUUUGAACGCACAUUGCGCCCGCCAGCAUUCUGGCGGGCAUGCCUGUUCGAGCGUCAUUUCAACCCUCAAGCUCUGCUUGGUGUUGGGGCCCUACAGCUGAUGUAGGCCCUCAAAGGUAGUGGCGGACCCUCCCGGAGCCUCCUUUGCGUAGUAACUUUACGUCUCGCACUGGGAUCCGGAGGGACUCUUGCCGUAAAACCCCCAAUUUUCCAAAGGUUGACCUCGGAUCAG
This 517-nucleotide ribosomal RNA is filed under the name fungal endophyte. RNAcentral describes it as "eukaryotic LSU rRNA". The stretch from base 189 to 342 matches the Rfam family "5.8S ribosomal RNA". Lineage: Eukaryota; Fungi. The record is from RNAcentral.